This 2930-nucleotide ribosomal RNA is filed under the name Escherichia coli. RNAcentral's name for it is "23S ribosomal RNA". It matches the Rfam family "Bacterial large subunit ribosomal RNA". The record is from RNAcentral. Lineage: Bacteria; Pseudomonadati; Pseudomonadota; Gammaproteobacteria; Enterobacterales; Enterobacteriaceae.
GGGUUGUGAGGUUAAGCGACUAAGCGUACACGGUGGAUGCCCUGGCAGUCAGAGGCGAUGAAGGACGUGCUAAUCUGCGAUAAGCGUCGGUAAGGUGAUAUGAACCGUUAUAACCGGCGAUUUCCGAAUGGGGAAACCCAGUGUGUUUCGACACACUAUCAUUAACUGAAUCCAUAGGUUAAUGAGGCGAACCGGGGGAACUGAAACAUCUAAGUACCCCGAGGAAAAGAAAUCAACCGAGAUUCCCCCAGUAGCGGCGAGCGAACGGGGAGGAGCCCAGAGCCUGAAUCAGUGUGUGUGUUAGUGGAAGCGUCUGGAAAGGCGCGCGAUACAGGGUGACAGCCCCGUACACAAAAAUGCACAUGCUGUGAGCUCGAUGAGUAGGGCGGGACACGUGGUAUCCUGUCUGAAUAUGGGGGGACCAUCCUCCAAGGCUAAAUACUCCUGACUGACCGAUAGUGAACCAGUACCGUGAGGGAAAGGCGAAAAGAACCCCGGCGAGGGGAGUGAAAAAGAACCUGAAACCGUGUACGUACAAGCAGUGGGAGCCUCUUUUAUGGGGUGACUGCGUACCUUUUGUAUAAUGGGUCAGCGACUUAUAUUCUGUAGCAAGGUUAACCGAAUAGGGGAGCCGAAGGGAAACCGAGUCUUAACUGGGCGUUAAGUUGCAGGGUAUAGACCCGAAACCCGGUGAUCUAGCCAUGGGCAGGUUGAAGGUUGGGUAACACUAACUGGAGGACCGAACCGACUAAUGUUGAAAAAUUAGCGGAUGACUUGUGGCUGGGGGUGAAAGGCCAAUCAAACCGGGAGAUAGCUGGUUCUCCCCGAAAGCUAUUUAGGUAGCGCCUCGUGAAUUCAUCUCCGGGGGUAGAGCACUGUUUCGGCAAGGGGGUCAUCCCGACUUACCAACCCGAUGCAAACUGCGAAUACCGGAGAAUGUUAUCACGGGAGACACACGGCGGGUGCUAACGUCCGUCGUGAAGAGGGAAACAACCCAGACCGCCAGCUAAGGUCCCAAAGUCAUGGUUAAGUGGGAAACGAUGUGGGAAGGCCCAGACAGCCAGGAUGUUGGCUUAGAAGCAGCCAUCAUUUAAAGAAAGCGUAAUAGCUCACUGGUCGAGUCGGCCUGCGCGGAAGAUGUAACGGGGCUAAACCAUGCACCGAAGCUGCGGCAGCGACACUAUGUGUUGUUGGGUAGGGGAGCGUUCUGUAAGCCUGUGAAGGUGUGCUGUGAGGCAUGCUGGAGGUAUCAGAAGUGCGAAUGCUGACAUAAGUAACGAUAAAGCGGGUGAAAAGCCCGCUCGCCGGAAGACCAAGGGUUCCUGUCCAACGUUAAUCGGGGCAGGGUGAGUCGACCCCUAAGGCGAGGCCGAAAGGCGUAGUCGAUGGGAAACAGGUUAAUAUUCCUGUACUUGGUGUUACUGCGAAGGGGGGACGGAGAAGGCUAUGUUGGCCGGGCGACGGUUGUCCCGGUUUAAGCGUGUAGGCUGGUUUUCCAGGCAAAUCCGGAAAAUCAAGGCUGAGGCGUGAUGACGAGGCACUACGGUGCUGAAGCAACAAAUGCCCUGCUUCCAGGAAAAGCCUCUAAGCAUCAGGUAACAUCAAAUCGUACCCCAAACCGACACAGGUGGUCAGGUAGAGAAUACCAAGGCGCUUGAGAGAACUCGGGUGAAGGAACUAGGCAAAAUGGUGCCGUAACUUCGGGAGAAGGCACGCUGAUAUGUAGGUGAAGUCCCUCGCGGAUGGAGCUGAAAUCAGUCGAAGAUACCAGCUGGCUGCAACUGUUUAUUAAAAACACAGCACUGUGCAAACACGAAAGUGGACGUAUACGGUGUGACGCCUGCCCGGUGCCGGAAGGUUAAUUGAUGGGGUCAGCGCAAGCGAAGCUCUUGAUCGAAGCCCCGGUAAACGGCGGCCGUAACUAUAACGGUCCUAAGGUAGCGAAAUUCCUUGUCGGGUAAGUUCCGACCUGCACGAAUGGCGUAAUGAUGGCCAGGCUGUCUCCACCCGAGACUCAGUGAAAUUGAACUCGCUGUGAAGAUGCAGUGUACCCGCGGCAAGACGGAAAGACCCCGUGAACCUUUACUAUAGCUUGACACUGAACAUUGAGCCUUGAUGUGUAGGAUAGGUGGGAGGCUUAGAAGUGUGGACGCCAGUCUGCAUGGAGCCGACCUUGAAAUACCACCCUUUAAUGUUUGAUGUUCUAACGUUGACCCGUAAUCCGGGUUGCGGACAGUGUCUGGUGGGUAGUUUGACUGGGGCGGUCUCCUCCUAAAGAGUAACGGAGGAGCACGAAGGUUGGCUAAUCCUGGUCGGACAUCAGGAGGUUAGUGCAAUGGCAUAAGCCAGCUUGACUGCGAGCGUGACGGCGCGAGCAGGUGCGAAAGCAGGUCAUAGUGAUCCGGUGGUUCUGAAUGGAAGGGCCAUCGCUCAACGGAUAAAAGGUACUCCGGGGAUAACAGGCUGAUACCGCCCAAGAGUUCAUAUCGACGGCGGUGUUUGGCACCUCGAUGUCGGCUCAUCACAUCCUGGGGCUGAAGUAGGUCCCAAGGGUAUGGCUGUUCGCCAUUUAAAGUGGUACGCGAGCUGGGUUUAGAACGUCGUGAGACAGUUCGGUCCCUAUCUGCCGUGGGCGCUGGAGAACUGAGGGGGGCUGCUCCUAGUACGAGAGGACCGGAGUGGACGCAUCACUGGUGUUCGGGUUGUCAUGCCAAUGGCACUGCCCGGUAGCUAAAUGCGGAAGAGAUAAGUGCUGAAAGCAUCUAAGCACGAAACUUGCCCCGAGAUGAGUUCUCCCUGACCCUUUAAGGGUCCUGAAGGAACGUUGAAGACGACGACGUUGAUAGGCCGGGUGUGUAAGCGCAGCGAUGCGUUGAGCUAACCGGUACUAAUGAACCGUGAGGCUUAACCUUACAACGCCGAAGGUGUUU